GUGCCGCCGGUAAAAAACAAAAACAAAAAGAAUUUCUAUUUUUUUUUUUUUUUAAAGAGUAUACGGUUUUUUCUACAAUUGUUGACGAACAGAUGGCUUACCUCGAGGGUGUGAUGGUCGAUGGCGCCCUUGUUAAGCCGUAGCAGGACAGGCGGAAGUGCUACAGGAGUGAUUUCGAUGAAGAGGAAGUCGUUGAUGCGCAUCUUGACGAUGAGGGGAGGCCCGACCCAACCGUGUGCAGCAAGGGAGCCCCUCUCAUUCUUGUCGAUCUUCAACUCCUUCUUUGCCUCUUUGACGGCUGUUUCGACAGCGACUUCUGCCUGAUGAAACUAACUUUGGCAUUCUCUCCUUCGGGGAGGCUGGCGUGUAUCGACAGAUGGGUCUGCGUAGCGCCCUCCUGGUAGUCUUUCAUCGAACGCAAUUUGUAACCAGGGAAUGUAUACUGCAGCAUGCGCACUUUCUUCUCCUCUGGGUCGAUUAUAGCCGCCUCGUAACUGUUGUAGUUCAUGCUGUAACGCUCCCUGUUAUGAAAUUUGGUAUACUGGAGGAGGUGCUAGAAAAAACAAAACAAACAACAACGUAGAACCAUCCCAUCGUAUUAAAGCUUAUAACUAACCUUUUCGUCCUUGUCCAUCGAUGCCCUUUUUCUACUCAACGCCCUCCCGUCCAUCGCGCCCCC
Long non-coding RNA from Cimex lectularius (bed bug), 679 nucleotides. RefSeq lists it as uncharacterized. The record is from RefSeq and is a predicted model, not a curated record. The transcript has 3 exons. Lineage: Eukaryota; Metazoa; Arthropoda; Insecta; Hemiptera; Cimicidae.